GACGAACGCUGGCGGCGUGCUUAACACAUGCAAGUCGAACGGAAAGGCCCCUUUGGGGGUCCUCGAGUGGCGCACGGGUGAGUAACACGUGAGUAACCUUCCCUUGACUUCGGGAUAACUUCAGGAAACUGGGGCUAAUACCGGAUAGGAAUCCUUGCUGCAUGGUGGGGGUUGGAAAGCUUCGGCGGUUUUGGAUGGACUCGCGGCUUAUCAGCUUGUUGGUGGGGUAGUGGCUUACCAAGGCUUUGACGGGUAGCCGGCCUGAGAGGGCGACCGGCCACAUUGGGACUGAGAUACGGCCCAGACUCCUACGGGAGGCAGCAGUGGGGAAUAUUGCACAAUGGGCGGAAGCCUGAUGCAGCAACGCCGCGUGCGGGAUGACGGCCUUCGGGUUGGAAACCGCUUUCAGCAGGGGCGAAGCUUGUGGUGACGGUACCUGCAGAAGAAGCACCGGCUAACUACGUG
Molecule: ribosomal RNA, 465 nt
Filed under: uncultured bacterium
Lineage: Bacteria
Description: partial 16S ribosomal RNA
Rfam family: Bacterial small subunit ribosomal RNA
Source: RNAcentral